UUGUAAUUUCAAAUCAUGACAGCUCAGAAGCUGUCAUUAAGAAUAAGAAUAAACUGAAGAACUUUUUUCCUCCUCCACAGACAGGAUUGCAAUCUAUGGAUGUAUUGUGAAUGUGGCAGCAGAAAAAGACAUGAAACAAGACAGGUCCUCAAUAACUUCAUACCUGGAGCCACUAGUGAUUGUGUUUGCACUCAUUCUCAGCUGCAAUCACUCAGUCUCACAGCUGGACAACACCUCUCAUUCAAAAUAAACCUUCCGUUCUUGAUUGCUCCAUAUCACGUUGCUGCCAUUUCCAGCUGUUUCUCGAUCAGAAUACAUUGCUUUAAGAUCUGCCUCUUUAUGUCCUCAAAGCAAAUGAACAAGCACAGGAAUAUUUUGAAACAUUUUAUUACACUUACCAAUGUUAUUUGACUCUGUAACAAGUGAAAAACAAAUUACAAUGAGGAAUGCUGUUUUUGAAGAACUGCAAUUUCCAUUUGCCUGUAUUUGUGGAUAAGAAAUUUGGGGCUUUUGGACCAGAGACUCCCUCUGUUCAUCAUGGUUGAAAUUUUACAUGCCGGAUGAAAAGACUGGAGAAAAGCAGAGUGAUUUACUGAACUUGUUGCCUUCAGAAAGCAAUCUCAUCGGUAGUUCUACAGUACCUCAUAUAAAAUAAGCUCAGGUUUGGAGAAAUAUAGAUAUAUAUUUCCAUGUAAUAUCUGUGCAUUUUCCUAAAUGCUGCCAUGCCUUUUUACUAUGUUAAUGAAUAGCUUAGAUGAUGAACAUGCUUUAUAGGCUUUGCUGGCUACUGUGUGAGCCUCUGGACAUGGUUAGUUCCUAAGAAAUGCUUAGUAACAUGCACUUUUGCAAAGUCUCUUGAGUUUUUGGAACAAUGGCCAAGGGUGUUUGGAGAAAUGCUUUCCUGUCUUUACAGACUCACAAUCACCACUGAGUUCUUCCAAGUUUGUACCAACCUUACUGACCUUGCUCAGUCUGGCUCCAACUGUCCUGGGGGACAGAAUGAUUCCUCAUUCACCAGUGCCUUUAAUUACCUUCUUUUGCAAAAAAAAUGUUCUCUGGGGUCCAAGGAGGAUGUUGAGAAAGAAUGCUAUGGCAUUCCAACAUUUUCUCUUUACUCAAGCAUCCAACAAUUACAAUCAAAGUACGUUGAAAUUGCUUACCUUUAUUUCAGCUCAUCUCAUCAAACUCUGUCUACAGCUCAAUGAAACAUAUGAAAAGACAAAACAGUACAAAAAACUUCUUCAUUGUACGUUAAUAUCUCUACUUGUCCUGUAGAGAUAAGCCCAUGGACGUGAUCAUGCUUAACUGGGCUGUCUACAUAGAAGAUAGAAUAAUAUAGAAUAGACUUUAAAUGAUGCACUACUACAAUUCAUAAAGUCUUUUAAACACUGAUUUUUUUUUAUAGUCAGUAUCUGGUGACAAAAAAAAACACAAAUAACAGCAAAACCUGAGUAGAUUAAUGACCUUAAUAUUUUUUAAAAUUUAUUUAUUUAGAAAUAUUACUUUAGGAAUUUAUUUGCUUACAAAUAGAAUAUUAUAAUAGGUACUAUAAAUAGAUUAUAUAGUAUAUACUAGGCUCAGUGCCUGAAUCUAGGAAUAUUCUAAUCCACUUUCAAAGGAGAAUCUACGGUUUCAAUAGAGAACAAAAAUAAUUGAAUACUGUUUCAUUUUGUUUUGCUUUGUUUUUGCUUUUUAAGUGAAAUAUAGAACUAAACUCUCAAGUAACUAUGGCUAUCCCAACUUGCUUGCUUUCUCCUGGAGGGAAGUCCUUAUGUUCCACAUAACGUCAAAAGAGUAUCAUUGAACACCUAUGAUGAGCUUGAGAUACUAAAGCCCAGAAGGAAUAUGAGACCAGUUUGGGCUUUCUAUUCUGUUGUUCAAGGGCUCAUAAUUGGAAGACAAAAAAAAAAAAAAAUCUGCUUGCAAAUGUUUUUUUUUUUUUUUAAUAUUUCUUGCAGAUCAUGGAACAUGAGUUUAGAAAGAAGUGGAGGCAGGAGGGCCUAUCAUUUGCAAAUGGCACAGAAGAGCAAAAUCAAAUCCUGGAAGAGAGCAAAAAUGAGAUGAAUUUACUCAAGAUCAUCUCCCUGGAGACUGCCAGCUCGAUUAGAGCUAAAUUGCUAUUGAUGACUUCAAAGAAUCAGAUCAUGUAAUUUGACAUAUAAGGAUAUAUGGCACAAAUAAUCAAAUAUUUAAAUAAUGAAAACACCAAAUGAAUUAAAUAUUCCUGUUAUAUAGAACUAUUAGAAUUACUUAAGAGACCUUCCAGAUGCAAUCUGUUAUGUUAAGUACAAUGAUUCUGUGUUUCCAUGUGCCGGGCAGAAUUUAAAAUGCAAGGGAUCAUAUAAGCAUAGCAGACCAAUUUUUAAACUAACUGAAGCCCCAACAUUUCAUUCUGAUGGGUGAUUGCACACUACCACAUCUCUUCUCUUUGUCUUUCUUCUCUUCUAACAUAUUCAGCAGUUAAUUUAGAAAGUAAGAUGUCCCUUUAGAAACAAAGAAGACAUUAAGAAUUUUCUUGCAGAGGGUGCCAAGUAAGAACCUACCCUCUUGCUCAUCUCGGUAAACAUUUGCUUUCAAGAUUGCUGUAGUAUCCCAUUAUCAUCAAGUCCCACCAAGAAGGAAAAUUAAGUCUUGUAAAAAAAAAUCACAAUUUUGAUUGUGCCAAAACUCCUCCAUUUAAUAUACCCCAAACCAAUAUGUGCAGUCUGUCACUUGAGGUCCUAGGGUUUCCUCGAUCCCAAGCCUCAGCCAACCUGGACUCGUCACAAUUUGUCAGGCAGAUUGGUGCUUGACUUCUUGAUUCUUGCUCCUGGGCAAUGACUCAAACUCUGUCCACCUAGAAUUCUUGACUUCUCAUUUACCCAUUCAUUCCCUCGAGAACUCAGGACAUAUGUACUUGUUCCUUGGUCUGUGCCAGUAUCUGUCCCUCUCUCAAUCCUAACCCUGCUUCAAGAGUGAGGUGUCUCAUUCAAAGCCAUACAAUUAUUCCAUGACAUCUUUCUUUAUCUUUCUCAUCAAGAGUAAUUUAUUGAUGUAUCCAUUUCAUCAUUUAUUCAUUUAAAUAUUGUGUUGAAUGUCUAUUAUAUGCUGAGUCCUAAUAAUACAAGUACAAAUGAAGUCUGUUCCCUGACUUUAUAGAACUUGAAGCUGAUUUAAAAAGCAAACCAGUGAAACAGCAGGUACCCCACAAUUAUAGAGUGGAAGAGGGCAAACAUGUAUAAUGUGUGCCCCUAGAACCCUAAACCACCCAGGAAUGGCCAGGGUCCUCUCUCUAGAGAAAAGAACUGAUGAUCUGAGCCUAGAAAUUCAAGGAGAUUUAGCUAAAUAUAGAAAAGAAAGGAGAAUGUUCUUUGCAGAAAGAAAAGGCACAGGAAAAUAGCAUAAGAAGUAUGAGGAAAACCGUGGCAUUCUAGCGGGCCAGGCUGCACACAC
RNAcentral lists this long non-coding RNA (3432 nucleotides) under Canis lupus familiaris (dog). Its description in RNAcentral is "lncRNA (ENSCAFG00000056880.1)". The record is from RNAcentral. Lineage: Eukaryota; Metazoa; Chordata; Mammalia; Carnivora; Canidae.